RNAcentral lists this ribosomal RNA (893 nucleotides) under uncultured archaeon. Its description in RNAcentral is "bacterial SSU rRNA". It matches the Rfam family "Archaeal small subunit ribosomal RNA", at positions 33 to 902 of the family's 1478-position model. The record is from RNAcentral.
UCGGGUUGAGACUAAGCCAUGCUAGUCGAGCGUUUUCUAGCUAUGUUGAGAGCGCGGCGAACAGCUCAGUAACACGUAGUUAACCUUCCCUCUGGAUGGAGAUAACCCCUGGGAAACUGGGAUUAAUAUCCACUAGAUGAUACUGCCUGGAAUGGUUUAUCAUCGAAAGAUUCUGGAGACAUGCUUCCAGUAUCGCCCGAGGAUGGGACUGCGUCCGAUCAGGUUGUUGGCGGGGUAACGGCCCACCAAGCCUAUUACCGGUACGGGCCCUGAGAGGGGGAGCCCGGAGAUGGAAACUGAGACAAUGUUCCAGGCCCUACGGGGCGCAGCAGGCGCGAAACCUCCACAAUGCGCGCAAGCGUGAUGGGGUUAGCCCGAGUGCCGUCCGAUGAGGAUGGCUUUUCCUUGGUGUAAAAAUCCAGGGGAAUAAAGGGGGGGCAAGACUGGUGUCAGCCGCCGCGGUAAUACCAGCCCCCUGAGUGGUAAGGACGAUUAUUUGGCUUAAAGCGUUCGUAGCCGGCUUAGUAAGUCUCCUGUUAAAUCCAAUGAUUCAAUCAUUGAACUGCAAGAGAUACUGCUAUGCUAGAGGACGGGAGAGGUCGACGGUAGUCCAGGGGUAGGGGUGAAAUCCUAUAAUCCUUGGAGGACCACCAGUGGCGAAGGCGGUCGACUAGAACGUGCCUGACGGUGAGGGACGAAAGCUGGGGGAGCGAACCGGACUAGAUACCCGGGUAGUCCCAGCUGUAAACGAUGCGGGCUAGGUGUAGGGGUAGCUACGAGCUGCUCCUGUGCCGCAGAGAAAUUGUUAAGCCCGCCGCCUGGGGAGUACGAUCGCAAGAUUGAAACUUAAAGGAAUUGGCGGGGGAGCACCACAAGGGGUGAAGGCUGCGGUU